This 3370-nucleotide long non-coding RNA is filed under the name Setaria viridis. RNAcentral's name for it is "long non-coding RNA (SVIR_LNC008986)". The record is from RNAcentral. Lineage: Eukaryota; Viridiplantae; Streptophyta; Magnoliopsida; Poales; Poaceae.
GGUAGCGGCCUCUAGCAAGACGUGCCAACUCCUAUACGCACACGAAGAUCAUAUCAGACGAACCAUCACAACAUAAUAUACAUGCUAUUCCCUUUGCCUCACGAUAUUUGGUCUAGCUUCAAGCCGACCGCUCUUUCUCGAUCCUGUGAUUCGGAAUCCCUUUGUAGGUUAACUCUUAACCGUACGUAGCAUGGCCAUGCAUUUUCGGAUCUGAUCACUCGAGGGGCCCAGAGAUAUCACUCUCAAUCAGAGAGGGGCAAAUCCCAUCUUGACUGACCAUGUCUCAUAGCAUGCUUCUUGACCAACCCGAAAGCUACCUUUAUAACUACCCUGUUACAGCGUAGCGUUUGAUAGCCCCUAAGUAGGUCGAUCCACAUCUAGAAUACAUGCGACAGUCUCAGGUCUAAGGACAAAGCGUAUAUGUUGUUUAAAGAGAGAACUACUUCUCGUGUUGGGUCAGUCCUAGCACAUGUCUCCACAUGUGUCCACAUUAUUAGUUCAACAUCUGCAUGUCCAUGACUUGUGAAACAUAGUCAUCAACUAAUACAUGUGCUAGUCUAAUAUUCAUGUGUGUCCUCACAUGAACUCCGACUAGGUACAACUUUAGAAUAACCAUACAAGUAAAGAGUUUCACAUACAAUUCACAUAAUUGCAAAUCAAUUCAAGUAGCCUUCAAUGGAUAUUCAAUGAACACAACAUACAAAUCAUGGAUACAAAUGGAAUAUCAUCAUCUCUAUGAUUGCCUCUAGGGCAUACCUCCAACAGCUCCACCACCAAAGACCUCCACUCAUACUCCACUCAUGAAGACAUCCACCACCACUCUCUGAGAGAAAGAAUUAGCCACCAUACUUUAGAAUCUACCGCUGUAUUACUCCACCUCUGUACUACCACCACUAGAAUAAAGGGAGGCCGUUGGAGCUCGUCCCUCGGUUUGUAAGGUAAUCAAGGUUUGUGCUAAGUGCUUGGGGUUUCCCGAAAAGGAAAGCCGCAUGUAAGCUUGUCCCCUGGAAAUGGAUUAAGCUGUCCUGGUAGCAUCCCUGCCUUCCUUUAAGCUCGAUUGUAUGGGGCGAUGUCUCUACGCUAGGGACCCUAGAAGAGAAACCUCUGCGUGUGUCGUUCUCGUGUUAGCCCGUGUAGCGGCGUUUGAGGAGAACCCUGUGUGCGCAGAGAAGUGUUCCCUUCGGGUGGAACUGCCUGGGGAGACGGUAGAGCCUGAGUCCUGUGUGAGCGUGGCUGGGGACGGUGAGGGUGCAGUCCGGGCUGGCCUGGUUCUGAAGCGAGCCAGCGAGGCAUGCGGUGAGUACCGAGUAGGACUGUCACAAGCAUAGCAGCACGACCGGCUGAAUCUUCGGUCUCGCCAACCCGCAAAGAUCCUGAGAAUAGGCUUAAUUAAGGAAUAUACCUAAUCACGCACCCGCGCGUGCUCGUAUCCCUGAAAACGACCCCGAAUAGUAGCUCAAUAGUGCGCAAUAGUGAGUGAAUAGUGGCUGAAUAGUGCCGCCACCCAUAGGUGCUCCACCCACUCCCGGUGAGUGCUCGGGCACUAUUCAUAUUCCCAAAUUUGAAUAGUGAGCUGAAUUUAAAUAGUACCGCGAAUUUGAAUAGUGUUCGUUGAUUUUGAAUAGUGCUGUGAAUAGUAACUCGAAAUUUGAAUUCCGAAAUUUUUCGGAGUCGCUCGUUCCCUCGCCCUGGAUCGUAUUAUCCCCUCGUCCAAUACUGGCUCUGAUACCAGUCUGGGAAAACCGCGGUCGAGGGCGAGGGAACGAGCAACUCCGAAAAAUUUCGGAUUUCAAAUUUCGAGUUACUAUUCACAGUACUAUUCAAAUUCGGCGAACACUAUUCAAAUUCGCGGCACUAUUUAAAUUCAGCUCACUAUUCAAAUUCGGGAAUAUGAAUAGUGCCCGAGCACUCACCAGGAGUGGAUGGAGCACCUUUGGGUGGCGGCACUAUUCAACCACUAUUCACUCACUAUUACGCACUAUUGAGCUACUAUUCGGGGUCGCAUUCAGGGGAUACGAGCACGCGCGGGUGCGUGAUUAGGUAUAUUCCUUAAUUAAGCCUAUUCUCAGGAUCUUUGCGGGUUGGCGAGACCGAAGAUUCAGCCGGACGUGCUGCUAUGCUUGUGACAGUCCUACUCGGUACUCACCGCAUAACCACACUACGACAUCAACCAGAUCACAACCAGAGCAUCACCAAGAAUCACGAAGACACACUCCACCACCGAAGACCUCCACCCACACUCCACUCAUGAAGACAUCCACCACCACUCUCUGAGAGAGAUAGAAUUAGCCACCAUAUUUUAGAAUCUACCGCUGUAUUACUCCACCUCUGUACUACCACCACUAGAAUAAAGGGAGGCCGUUGGAGCUCGUCCCUCGGUUUGUAAGGUAAUCAAGGUUUGUGCUAAGUGCUUGGGGUUUCCCGAAAGGGAAAGCUGCAUGUAAGCUUGACCCGUGGAAAUGGAUUAAGCUGUCCUGGUAGCAUCCCUGCCUUCCUUUAAGCUCGUUCUUAUGGGGCGAUGUCUCUACGCUAGGGACCCUAGAGGAGAAACCUCUGCGUGUGUCGUUCUCGUGUUAGCCCUGAUAGCGGCGUUUGAGGAGAACCCUGUGUGCGCAGAGAAGUGUUCCCUUCGGGUGGAACUGCCUGGGGAGACGGUAGAGCCUGAGUCCUGUGUGAGCGUGGCUGGGGACGGUGAGGGUGCAGACCGGGCUGGCCUGGUUCUGAAGCGAGCCAGCGAGGCAUGCGCCUACUGGCCCGGCUCCGUCCGCCGCCCCGGUCCUCCUCCGUCCCUCCGCCGCCACCGGGGACAAGGAUGGAAAGUGAUGAGGAGGAGCCGGAAUAAGCCACUUUUUUUUGCUUCCGGUGGGUGGAGAAACGUAGAGACCGCAUUUUGCGGGGCUUCUACUGGUUUUCGCGGGUGAGCCGUUUUGCCUUCUCCCGUUUGGCACGGCUUCAUCAAAAGCCACCCUAGAAGCCGCUCGAUGAGCCGUGCCAAAGGGGCCCUAAGAUUGUCUAAAACCUGAGGUUAAUUUUUCGUCCUACGGUUGCUCGCUCCCCGCGCCCCGCGCCAGGCCGCCCUCGCCACGUGCCUCCGCCUAGCCGCGCCCCCCUCUCCCCGCGCCGUCGGGUGAACCACAUGCGCCCGCGCAGGCCCGAGCUGCACGCCUCGCCUCCCGUGCCACAUGCCACCGCCUGGCUGCGUGCGCCCACUCCCCGUGCCCUAACCAACGGCCCGCCGCUGGCCUCCUGCCACUGCCACCGCACCAAGCCGCCCUUCGCCCGCAGGACCUUGGGAGAGAGACGAUCGAGAGAUAGGUUGUGCCAGCCUCUGGAAGCAGUAUGGAAACAUAAGCGGCAACUUUGUCUUUUC